RNAcentral lists this ribosomal RNA (421 nucleotides) under uncultured bacterium. RNAcentral describes it as "bacterial SSU rRNA". It matches the Rfam family "Bacterial small subunit ribosomal RNA", at positions 355 to 774 of the family's 1533-position model. The record is from RNAcentral.
UAAGGAAUAUUGGUCAAUGGACGCAAGUCUGAACCAGCCAUGCCGCGUGAAGGAUGAAGGUCCUCUGGAUUGUAAACUUCUUUUAUCUGGGACGAAAACGGGAUUUUUAUCUCAAUUGACGGUACCAGAGGAAUAAGCACCGGCUAACUCCGUGCCAGCAGCCGCGGUAAUACGGAGGGUGCGAGCGUUAUCCGGAUUUACUGGGUUUAAAGGGUGCGUAGGUGGGCUUAUAAGUCAGUGGUGAAAUCUCCGAGCUUAACUUGGAAACUGCCGUUGAUACUAUAGGUCUUGAAUGCCGUGGAGGUGAGCGGAAUAUGUCAUGUAGCGGUGAAAUGCUUAGAUAUGACAUAGAACACCAAUUGCGAAGGCAGCUUACUACAUAUAAAUUGACGCUGAGGCACGAAAGCGUGGGGAUCAAACA